Molecule: ribosomal RNA, 253 nt
Filed under: uncultured bacterium
Lineage: Bacteria
Description: partial 16S ribosomal RNA
Rfam family: Bacterial small subunit ribosomal RNA
Source: RNAcentral
UACGAAGGGGGCUAGCGUUGUUCGGAUUUACUGGGCGUAAAGCGCACGUAGGCGGCUUUAUAAGUCGGGGGUGAAAGCCUGUGGCUCAACCACAGAAUUGCCUUCGAUACUGUAGAGCUUGAGACCGGAAGAGGUAAGUGGAACUGCGAGUGUAGGGGUGAAAUUCGUAGAUAUUCGCAAGAACACCAGUGGCGAAGGCGGCUUACUGGUCCGGUUCUGACGCUGAGGCGCGAAAGCGUGGGGAGCAAACAGG